RNAcentral lists this ribosomal RNA (253 nucleotides) under uncultured bacterium. RNAcentral's name for it is "partial 16S ribosomal RNA". It matches the Rfam family "Bacterial small subunit ribosomal RNA", at positions 524 to 776 of the family's 1533-position model. The record is from RNAcentral.
CACGUAGGGCGCAAGCGUUGUCCGGAAUUAUUGGGCGUAAAGAGCUCGUAGGCGGUCUGUUGCGUCUGCUGUGAAAACCCGGGGCUUAACCCCUGGCUUGCAGUGGAUACGGACAGACUAGAGGUAGGUAGGGGAGAAUGGAAUUCCCGGUGUAGCGGUGAAAUGCGCAGAUAUCAGGAGGAACACCGGCGGCGAAGGCGGCACUCUGGGCCGGUACUGACGCUGAGGAGCGAAAGCGUGGGUAGCAAACAGG